RNAcentral lists this ribosomal RNA (253 nucleotides) under uncultured bacterium. Its description in RNAcentral is "partial 16S ribosomal RNA". It matches the Rfam family "Bacterial small subunit ribosomal RNA", at positions 524 to 776 of the family's 1533-position model. The record is from RNAcentral.
UACGGAGGAUGCGAGCGUUAUCCGGAUUUAUUAGGUUUAAAGGGUGUGUAGGCGGACUAUUAAGUCAGUGGUGAAAUCUCAGAGCUUAACUCUGAAACUGCCAUUGAUACUGAUAAUCUUGAGUACAGUUGAAGUAGGCGGAAUGUGUAAUGUAGCGGUGAAAUGCUUAGAUAUUACACAGAACACCGAUUGCGAAGGCAGCUUACUAAGCUGUUACUGACGCUGAUGCACGAAAGCGUGGGGAGCGAACAGG